CCUACGGGAGGCAGCAGUGGGGAAUUUUGGACAAUGGGCGCAAGCCUGAUCCAGCCAUUCCGCGUGAGUGAAGAAGGCCUUCGGGUUGUAAAGCUCUUUCGCGAGGGAAGAAAACUUACCAUCGAAUAAAUGGUGAGGCUGACGGUACCUUGAUAAGAAGCACCGGCUAACUACGUGCCAGCAGCCGCGGUAAUACGUAGGGUGCGAGCGUUAAUCGGAAUUACUGGGCGUAAAGCGUGCGCAGGCGGUUUUGUAAGUCAGAUGUGAAAUCCCCGAGCUCAACUUGGGAACUGCGUUUGAAACUACAAGACUAGAAUAUGUCAGAGGGGGGUAGAAUUCCACGUGUAGCAGUGAAAUGCGUAGAGAUGUGGAGGAAUACCAAUGGCGAAGGCAGCCCCCUGGGAUAAUAUUGACGCUCAUGCACGAAAGCGUGGGGAGCAAACAGGAUUAGAUACCCUGGUAGUCCACGCCCUAAACGAUGUCUACUAGUUGUUGGUGGAGUAAAAUCCAUGAGUAACCGNAGCGACGCGNGAGUAGACGCCGNGGGAGGUAACGGUCGCGAGAGUAAACGUUAACGAAUAGAGUUAGAGGCGNGAGAGNGCGAGGACGACGACGAGGGAGGAGG
Molecule: ribosomal RNA, 625 nt
Filed under: uncultured bacterium
Lineage: Bacteria
Description: bacterial SSU rRNA
Rfam family: Bacterial small subunit ribosomal RNA (bases 1-542)
Source: RNAcentral